RNAcentral lists this ribosomal RNA (277 nucleotides) under Escherichia coli. RNAcentral describes it as "partial 23S ribosomal RNA". It matches the Rfam family "Bacterial large subunit ribosomal RNA", at positions 2253 to 2529 of the family's 2925-position model. The record is from RNAcentral. Lineage: Bacteria; Pseudomonadati; Pseudomonadota; Gammaproteobacteria; Enterobacterales; Enterobacteriaceae.
AGUGUCUGGUGGGUAGUUUGACUGGGGCGGUCUCCUCCUAAAGAGUAACGGAGGAGCACGAAGGUUGGCUAAUCCUGGUCGGACAUCAGGAGGUUAGUGCAAUGGCAUAAGCCAGCUUGACUGCGAGCGUGACGGCGCGAGCAGGUGCGAAAGCAGGUCAUAGUGAUCCGGUGGUUCUGAAUGGAAGGGCCAUCGCUCAACGGAUAAAAGGUACUCCGGGGAUAACAGGCUGAUACCGCCCAAGAGUUCAUAUCGACGGCGGUGUUUGGCACCUCGA